GCCCUAGUAGCUUAAUAUUUAAAGCACCGGUCUUGUAAUCCGGAAAUNGAAGGUUAAAAUCCUUCCUAGUGCC
Molecule: transfer RNA, 73 nt
Filed under: Ancistrus sp. 1a MNRJ42890
Lineage: Eukaryota; Metazoa; Chordata; Actinopteri; Siluriformes; Loricariidae
Description: tRNA-Thr
Rfam family: tRNA
About the family: Transfer RNA (tRNA) molecules are approximately 80 nucleotides in length.
Source: RNAcentral